CCUCCCCCAGCCUCGCUGCCGCCUUGCAGUUUGAUCUCAGGCUGCUGUGCUAGCAAUCAGCGAGACUCCGUGGGCGUAGGACUCUCCGAGCCAGGUGACGGAUAUAAUCUCGUGGUGCGCCGUUUUUUAAGCCCGCCGGAAAAGCGCAGUAUUCGGGUGGGAGUGACCCGAUUUUCCAGUGAGAUGAACCCGGUACCUCAGUUGGAAAUGCAGAAAUCACCCGUCUUCUGCAUCGCUCACGCUGGGAGCUGUAGACUGGAGCUGUUCCUAUUCAGCCAUCUUGGCUCCACCU
This 292-nucleotide long non-coding RNA is filed under the name Homo sapiens (human). RNAcentral's name for it is "HSALNT0310644". Lineage: Eukaryota; Metazoa; Chordata; Mammalia; Primates; Hominidae. The record is from RNAcentral.